AGUGAACGCUGGCGGUAGGCCUAACACAUGCAAGUCGAACGGCAGCACAGUAAGAGCUUGCUCUUACGGGUGGCGAGUGGCGGACGGGUGAGGAAUACAUCGGAAUCUACUUUUUCGUGGGGGAUAACGUAGGGAAACUUACGCUAAUACCGCAUACGACCUACGGUUGAAAGCAGGGGAUCUUCGGACCUUGCGCGAUUGAAUGAGCCGAUGUCGGAUUAGCUAGUUGGCGGGGUAAAGGCCCACCAAGGCGACGAUCCGUAGCUGGUCUGAGAGGAUGAUCAGCCACACUAGAACUGAGACACGGUCCAGACUCCUACGGGAGGCAGCAGUGGGGAAUAUUGGACAAUGGGCGGAAGCCUGAUCCAGCCAUACCGCGUGGGUGAAGAAGGCCUUCGGGUUGUAAAGCCCUUUUGUUGGGAAAGAAAAGCAGCAGGUUAAUACCCCGCUGUUCUGACGGUACCCAAAGAAUAAGCACCGGCUAACUUCGUG
RNAcentral lists this ribosomal RNA (492 nucleotides) under uncultured bacterium. RNAcentral describes it as "partial 16S ribosomal RNA". It matches the Rfam family "Bacterial small subunit ribosomal RNA", at positions 29 to 507 of the family's 1533-position model. The record is from RNAcentral.